RNAcentral lists this ribosomal RNA (253 nucleotides) under uncultured bacterium. RNAcentral's name for it is "partial 16S ribosomal RNA". It matches the Rfam family "Bacterial small subunit ribosomal RNA", at positions 524 to 776 of the family's 1533-position model. The record is from RNAcentral.
UACGUAGGGGGCAAGCGUUGUCCGGAAUCAUUGGGCGUAAAGAGCGUGUAGGCGGCCCGGUAAGUCCGCUGUGAAAGUCCAGGGCUCAACCCUGGGAUGCCGGUGGAUACUGUCGGGCUCGAGUCCGGAAGAGGAGUGUGGAAUUCCUGGUGUAGCGGUGAAAUGCGCAGAUAUCAGGAGGAACACCGGUGGCGAAGGCGGCUCUCUGGACCACAACUGACGCUGGGGCGCGAAAGCUAGGGGAGCAAACAGG